AGACGUCUACAUUAGAUACCCCUGUAGUCCCAGCCCUAAACGAUGCGCGUUAGGUGUAUCGGUGACCACGAGUCACCGAGGUGCCGAAGGGAAACCGUGAAACGUGCCGCCUGGGAAGUACGGUCGCAAGGCUGAAACUUAAAGGAAUUGGCGGGGAGCACCACAACGGGUGGAGCCUGCGGUCUAAUUGGACUCAACGCCGGGAAGCUCACCGGAUAAGACAGCGGAAUGAUUGCCGGGCUGAAGACCCUGCAUGACCAGCUG
This 264-nucleotide ribosomal RNA is filed under the name uncultured archaeon. RNAcentral describes it as "partial 16S ribosomal RNA". It matches the Rfam family "Archaeal small subunit ribosomal RNA", at positions 714 to 982 of the family's 1478-position model. The record is from RNAcentral.